This 119-nucleotide small nuclear RNA is filed under the name Canis lupus familiaris (dog). RNAcentral describes it as "U4 spliceosomal RNA (multiple genes)". It matches the Rfam family "U4 spliceosomal RNA". Rfam says of the family: U4 small nuclear RNA (U4 snRNA) is a component of the major U2-dependent spliceosome. The structure of U4 snRNA from yeast and human has been reported. Lineage: Eukaryota; Metazoa; Chordata; Mammalia; Carnivora; Canidae. RNAcentral also lists the same sequence under 1 other name. The record is from Rfam by way of RNAcentral.
AGCUCUGUGCAGUGGCAUUAUUGUAGCCAAUGAGGCUUAUCCAUGGCAUGAUUAUUGCUAAUUGAAAACUACAGACUUGAUCCGAGUAGGGGAAGAAUGUUUCAUAAAUGCUGUUUCAU